This is a small nuclear RNA of Dipodomys ordii (Ord's kangaroo rat), 96 nucleotides long. The record is from Ensembl. Lineage: Eukaryota; Metazoa; Chordata; Mammalia; Rodentia; Heteromyidae.
UAGUUCUGGUAGCUCAUAGACUAAAAUUAGAACUAUACAAAGAUUAGCAUGGCCCCUGUGUGAGGGUGACAUGUAAAAAAGACUUUGCUACUUUGG